This 349-nucleotide unclassified non-coding RNA is filed under the name uncultured fungus. RNAcentral describes it as "partial contains 5.8S ribosomal RNA and internal transcribed spacer 2". The stretch from base 1 to 132 matches the Rfam family "5.8S ribosomal RNA", at positions 22 to 154 of the family's 154-position model. Lineage: Eukaryota; Fungi. The record is from RNAcentral.
UGGCUCUGGCAACGAUGAAGAACGCAGCGAAACGCGAAAGUUAAUGCGAAUUGCAGAAUCAGUGAGUCAUCGAGUUUUUGAACGCACAUUGCGCCUCUCGGUAUUCCGGGAGGCACGCCUGUUCGAGCGCCAUUUCACACCCCAAGCUCAGCUUGAUGUUGGACGAUGCUGUUGACAUAUAUUCUUCGGAAUGAAAAACGGCAAGUCUGGAACGUGUUGGCGCCGCCGCCGAACCACGAGCGUAGCAAGAUUUUUACGAAUCAUCCGCUGUGUUGGAUUUCGGUUGGAUGGUCUGCCUUUCAUAUAAAUUCAAAGGUUUGGCCUCGAAUCAGGUGGGGAUACCCGCUGA